Molecule: long non-coding RNA, 3676 nt
Filed under: Gossypium raimondii (Peruvian cotton)
Lineage: Eukaryota; Viridiplantae; Streptophyta; Magnoliopsida; Malvales; Malvaceae
Description: long non-coding RNA (GRAI_LNC009612)
Source: RNAcentral
UGAAAGCAUAUGCUUUUUCAUGUGAAUUAUUCCUCAGAAUAUGCUUUUUAUUGAAGUGUGGAUGAUGUUAGCAAAGACUUGCAGGUUUGGAGCAAAAUAGAUAAUCCUACAUUAUCAACUUAUUCUCUUGAUUUUACAUGCAAGAUUGGAUAUGUUCUUUUUCUUUUCAUGAAAAUGCAUUGUUGAAUGUGUUUGUUUAUGGUCAUCUAAGCCAUUUUUCAUCUCGCCAAUUCUUUGUUCAAGCAGUUUUUGGAUAAUCGAACCGAUAGAAUACACCCGCGGAAAUGAUGUUUAGAUGACCAUCAACAAACAACUUCAUCUUAUUGCAUCAAGUGUUUAUUUAAGGUUUUGUUACGUUUUAAAACCACCUUUUCUUUUUCAAUCAACAUUCUUCCCAUCUCUACAAAAGUUCGAGUGCCAAAUCUUACCAUAACGGUGAAAUCAAGAAUUUUAUGUUGGGGGUCGGAAUAUAAAGGAGACGAAUGGGAUGGACUUAGAAGUGACUGGAGAUUCAAAUCGAAACUGUAAUGGGAUGAGCUAUUUUGGUCAACUGUUUUACGCGCGAUAAACACGACACGAAAGAAAACAUGUCAUGAUUGCCGAAGAACUUGGUUUCAGAGAAGCAAUUCAGAACUGAAAAAAGGGUAAGAUUCUUUUGUUCUUCAUGGAGUGAAACUCCCAGCUACUUGUCUCUUUUAUAUUAUCUUAGCCUUUCCAAUGUUUUCUUUUUUUGGAACUUCCAAUGCUUUGUUUGUUCAAACUGAAGAUGGAUUAAGUGUCAUCAGUUGAAGUAUAUCCAUCUAUCUAUCUAUAUAUAAUCAACUUUAAUGGUAAUAAUUUGGAAGCAAGAAUAGCAAUGAUCCAACGGAUACAUAUGAUUUAUGUUUCCGCCAUGGUGGGAAAGUUAUUGUCUUGUGAAAGCCAAUAAUUUUGUUUAGGAGCACCCCAAAAAGUUACAAAAUUUUAGGGGUCAAAGCUAAAAUAUUACCUUCAAAAAUUUAAAAUUUACUAUUUUAGGUGUCAAAGAUAAAAAAUAGUUAAAUAGAGUUAUUAAUAUUUUAGAAAGGUUAAAAAUAUAAAUUUUCCGUUUAAUUAACAGCUAUAAUUUUUUAAAAAGACAAAGCAAUUUUUAUUAAUUUUUAAAAUUUAAAUUGCAGAGAAGUUGAUUUCUAAAAUUAGCAAUUUAAUUAAAAGAUUUUAACUGUAUUACUUAUUUGGUUAGUAUAAUAAAUUUAUAAUUAACCCGUACAAACGAGAAUAAUAUGUAUAGAACUAUUGGUGAGAUAAAAGGAAAAAAUUAAACAUGGUUUUUGGAACUAACUAGAUCGAUAACCAUCAGGAUAUUAGAUCAAAAUAAGAGGUUAAAUUAAUUGGUUCGUAAAUUAAUUUGGACCGGACUAAAAAAUAGGUUUGAAUGUAUAAUUAAACCAAUUGAACUGAUUUUUUAAUAUUUUUUUCUCAUUUUUAUGAAUUUUUAAUUAAAUCAGAUGAAUCAAUUAGACUAAGGAACAAAUGAUCUAAUUGAUUCAACCACUAAUCUAAUUUUCUAGAAUAUAUAUAUUUAAAAAUUUUAGAUUUUUUUUUACAAUUUUCUAAUAUUUAAAUACCUAUUUUAAUUCAUACAAAAUUUUUAAUUUUUAUAUAUUAUUUUGAAAUCUAUAUUUAUAUUCUAGAUUUUUAUAAAACAAUAUAGGUAAACUAUAAAAAUAGUCACUUUUAUUUGCCUCAGAUUACAUUUUAGUCAUUUAUGUUUGAAAUGUUACGUUUUAGUCACUUACGUUAUCGUUUUGUUACGAAGUAAUCACUCUACAGUUAAACUCCGUUACCUCCCUAAUAGCAGUCCUAUGUGGUAGUCCAAAUCGGUUUUAAAUGCUAACUUGGAUGUCCAGUUGCUAGGAUGGAAAUAAGUUUUUAAUUAAAUAAAUUUAAUUUGGACUGCCACGUAAGACAUCCAAGUUUACAUUUAAAACCCAUUUGGACUGCCAUGUAGGAUCGCCAUUAGGGAGGUAAAGGAGCUUAAUGGUAGAGUGGUCACUUCGUAACAAAACGAUAAUGUAAGUGACUAAAACGUAACAUUUCAAACAUAAGUGACUAAAAUGUUAUCCGAGACAAACAAAAUUGACUAUUUUUAUAGUUUUAAACUUUUUUAAUUUUUGAAAUAUUUAUAUAUGAUAUAUGAAUAUUUAUAUAUUUUUAAUCAAUAUAAUAUAUAAUAUUAAAAAAAUAAAAAGAAGCUGACAUGGGGCAUUCUCAUAAUGCCAUGGGGUAAUUUUGAUUUUUCUACCGCUGUGGACCAAUUUGGAUAGGGUGGAUAGUGUAAGUGCUAAAUUGAGAUAAAAAAAAGUUUUAGAUGUCAAAAUAAAAAUACAGAGAGCCAAAUUCAACAUUAAGCUUUAAAUCUAUUAUGACUUUACAUAUGAUAAUAUACCAAAUCCAAAUCAUAUACAAAUAUGCACACAAUAAUUGAAUAUUGAAUAUUUCUUUUUAUUAUACAUUGGAAUAAAUCUUAAAACUAUACAUGAAUUUUGAUUUAAUGUGCAAUUGUAAACAUGAACUUUAAUUUGGUAUAAUUAUACACGUAAAACUCUAAUUGGGGUCCAAGUUUAUACUUGAAACUUUAAUUUUAAUUUAAUCAUAUACACAUUUAAAGAAAUAGUACAUUAAUUUAUUUUUAUAUUGGAUAAAUAUAAUUAUUUAUAUAUGCAAUAUAUAAACAUGAAAUGAUGUUAUAUCAAUAAUUGUUUUAAUAAUUUAAUCAAAAUUCAUAUACAAUUACACAUUAAACCAUAACACAUCCCAUCCAUUACUUUAUUUUUAGUGCAAAGUUGCUUCAAUUCUAGUCUCUCAACAAAAACAAUGCCUUUAAUUUGGGAAAGAAAAAUAUUUGGUAUUAUAUUAGUAGAGCUUUUAGACUUCACAAGUAGAAAGUGUUAUAUAGAGAUAUUAAUAAAUAUUAAAAAAAGAAAAAUUUAAAAAAAAUAAGUGACUAUUUCUUAAAACUGUUUAUAGAAUAAAAAAGAGAGAGUAAAUUGUUAGUAUACCAGAUACUAAAGUAUAAAUGCAUAACCAAAAUUAAAAUUAAACCUUUUAAGAGCCAAAUAUGAAAGACUAAUAAAAUAGCCUGUUUGGAGAUCGACCCGUAUAAACAAUCAAAAUAGAAGAAGUAGAAAAGAUCGAACACAAAUAUUACGUGGAAAAUUCCUCCGAAGAGGAUAAAAACCACGGACAAAAAAGGCUUUACUAAUUCGACAAACCAAUGAAGAGUACAAGAUGAAAAAAAAUCAAAACCUACACAAUAAAACCCAAAUAAUCACUAAAAGAAGAGUACAAGAUGCAAAUACAAGAUAGUUGAAGUCAUGAAGCAAUAAUUUUGCAGCAGAAAAAGUAAAUAUUUAAUCAAGAAUCUUGAGUUGCAGCUAAUUUUAAAAAUUAAAACCUCUAGAAUUGAAAAGCAAAGAACAUCACAACCUUCGUCUUCUUCUUCAAUUGUAUCUACCAAAACAAUAGACCAAGACAAGUAUUAGUGUGUUAUAUAAACACUUAGAGAAAAAGAUCUGCAAAUCUAUGAUGAAAGAUUCACUUACACGGUUGUGGUUUUAAACAGACCUCCAUUCCUCAAUGAUAUCCUUCCGAAACCUCACCAAGGGUCGAACAACUUUCUUAAUAUUGAAAUUAG